GACGAACGCUGGCGGCGCGCUUAACACAUGCAGGUCGAACGGAAAGGCCUGCUUUCCCUUGUGGAUUGCGGGUACUCGAGUGGCGAACGGGUGAGUAACACGUGAGUGAUCUGCCCCCAACUUGGGUAUAAGCCUGGGAAACUGGGUCUAAUUCCCGAUAGGACUGCAGGGUGGUGCCUGUGGUGGAAAACGAUUUUCUAGUGGUUGGGGAUGAGCUCGCGGCCUAUCAGCUUGUUGGUGGGGUAAUGGCCUACCAAGGCGGCGACGGGUAGCCGGCCUGAGAGGGUGGACGGCCACAUUGGGACUGAGAUACGGCCCAGACUCCUACGGGAGGCAGCAGUGGGGAAUAGUGCACAAUGGGCGGAAGCCUGAUGCAGCGACGCCGCGUGGGGGAUGACGGCCUUCGGGUUGUAAACUCCUUUCGACCGCGAGGAAGCCACCUGGUUGGAAGGGUGGUGACGGUAGUGGUAGAAGAAGCACCGGCUAACUACGUG
Molecule: ribosomal RNA, 494 nt
Filed under: uncultured bacterium
Lineage: Bacteria
Description: partial 16S ribosomal RNA
Rfam family: Bacterial small subunit ribosomal RNA
Source: RNAcentral